Nylanderia fulva is the source of this 4205-nucleotide RNA transcript. It is a transcript of the gene named small wing phospholipase C gamma 1, with no coding region annotated. The record is from RefSeq and is a predicted model, not a curated record. Lineage: Eukaryota; Metazoa; Arthropoda; Insecta; Hymenoptera; Formicidae.
CUGCCCUUCUCGUAUCUCUCUUUGCUUCCUCUUUCAUUAUUAAUUUCUCGUAAAAGAGAUUUUACGAAGUCUGCAGUCUACAAGUUUCAUUAGUCUAUGACACAAUGCGGCGGUUCAAAUCUCUCAUACAUAUAUCUAUAUAGUGAAAGAUGCUGAGUGAAUACGAAGCGUAAACGUCAUACCUCGCACCGGAAGUAAUCCAUGUAAACGCAUAUUGUGCAAACGAUACCUACACAUGAUAAAUGAAACGUAUUUUUUUAUCGUAUAAUAUCAUCAAUACAGCAUAUCAUUACGCAGGACAGAGUGUAAAUAUAUAAUAUUAGCAAAAUGAAUGGAAUAAUACCUGAAAUGGAACAAAUUAUUAGUCAACUAGAGAGAGGUACUGUAGUGACCAAAUUUUUUCCAAGAAAGCGACCAGAAAAGAAAACUCUCAUGAUACGAAGAGAAACUAGACAAAUUGUUUGGUCGAGGAGUGCAACAUUUAGACCUUUUGAUGGUUCAGUGGAAAUAAGAGAAGUUAAAGAAGUUAGAAUAGGUAAACAAUCUAAAGACUUUGAAAAAUGGCCUGAAGAUGCUAAAAGAAUUGAGAAUUUAAGGUGCUUUGUUGUGUAUUAUGGAUCAGAAUUUAGACUGAAAACUCUUUCUAUAUCUGCUCUUAGCGAAAAAGAAUGUGAACUGUGGAUUAAGGGAUUGCGUUACUUGGUACAAGACACUAUAAAUGCACCAUAUCCUUUACAAGUUGAAAGAUGGCUUAGAAAAGAGUUUUAUGCAAUGGAAAAUUCCCGUGAAACGGUCACAUUGAAGGAUGUGAAAGCAUUUCUGCCUAGAGUUAAUUGCAAAAUUGCAACAAAUAGAUUGAGGGAACUUUUUCAAGAAGUGGACACAAGAAAUCGAAACGAACUUGGAUUUGAUGAUUUUGUUAUCCUAUACCAUAAAUUAAUGUUUGAUCAGAAUAAUCUUGCAGAUUGGCACAAACUAUUGAAUUAUUCCCAAAUUGAACCAACUGUCACACUUCAAGAAUUCCAGAAUUUUUUAGUAACUGAACAGCAAGAUAAUUUGGGAAAUAAUGAAUUAGAGAUAUCUCGUUUUAUUAGGGAAUAUUUACAAGAUUCUCAAAGGGACAUACAAGAACCAUAUUUUACUUUCUCAGAAUUUAUAGAUUUCUUAUUUUCUAAGCAAAAUGAUAUCUGGAAUCAAAAAUUUAAUCAAGUUUCUCAAGAUAUGGCUCGACCUCUUGCACAUUAUUGGAUAGCAUCAUCGCAUAACACAUACUUGAUGGGAGAUCAAAUUAGCAGCGAAAGUAGCUGUCAGGCCUAUGUGCGUGCGCUAAGAGCAGGGUGCAGAUGUAUAGAACUUGAUUGUUGGGAUGGUCCAGAUGGAAUGCCGUUUAUAUUUCAUGGACAUACCCUCACCACUAAAAUUAAAUUUUUAGAUGUUAUUAAAACUAUUAAGGAACAUGCUUUUACUACAUCUGAGUAUCCUGUUAUUUUAUCUAUCGAGGAUAAUUGUACUUUACCGCAACAACGUAAAAUGGCAAUGACUAUGCAAGAGGUCUUUGGUGAUAUGUUAUUAAUUCAACCUGUUGACAAAAAUGAAAUUUGCCUACCUUCCCCAUACUCGUUGCGCAGAAAAAUUUUAUUAAAACACAAGAAGCUUCCUGAUGGGGUCGACGAAUCAUCAUUUCUUGUGCGGAAUGAUGAAAGCAGACAGGAGAUGGAUCUUAGGAAUACUAUAAAAAAUGGAAUACUUUAUUUGGAAGAUCCUAUUGAUAGAGAAUGGAAUCCUCAUUUUUUCGUACUGACACAACAGAAGCUAUUUUAUACAGAUACAUUUUCAAGAGUACAAGAAACGGAACAUGAUGAUGAUGAAGAAAGCAAUAUUCGGAGAUCGUCAGAUGGCGCGCCGAAUGACGAAUUGCACUUUGGCGAAAAAUGGUUUCAUGGAAAAUUAGCGAGAGGAAGAGAGGAAGCUGAAGAAUUAUUACGACACUAUUCCUAUCUUGGAGAUGGUACUUUUCUCGUACGACAAUGUGUUACAUUUGUAGGUGACUAUUGUUUAUCAUUUUGGCGUAAAGGAAAAGUGAACCAUUGCCGCAUUAAGCUGAAACAAGAAAUGGGUCAAACGCAAUAUUAUCUCAUCGAUACUAAUUGUUUUGAUAGCUUAUACAGUUUAAUUACUCAUUACCGUAAUCAUCCACUUAGAAGUCAAGAAUUUUUAAUCACUCUGCAAGAUCCAGUGCCACAACCAAACAAACAUGAGGAGAAAGAAUGGUGGCAUCCUGAAUGUACUCGAAUUGCGGCAGAAGAAAUGUUGAAACGUAUACCUAUGGAUGGCGCAUUCUUAGUGAGACCCAGUGAAAGAGAAAGUAAUUGCUAUGCAAUUUCGUUUAGAGCGGAAAAGAAAAUAAAGCAUUGUAAAAUAAAACUUGAAGGCAGACUCUAUACUACUGGAACUGUACAGUUUGAAAGCUUAGUUGAGUUAAUCAAUUAUUAUGAACGACAUCCACUGUAUAAAAAGAUUAAAUUGAGCCAUCCUAUUAAUCAAGAUAUUAUCAGAAGAAUGGGAUUGGACAACGAUGAUGGAUCUGUUUAUGGUAUCCCAGGUUAUAUAGAUCCUACAAGCUUUACAUCAAAAGUUACAGUUAAGGCUAUUUAUGAUUAUAAAGCUAAAAGAGAAGAUGAAUUGACAUUAGUCAAGCAUGCUAUAAUUACUAAUGUCAAUGUGCAACCUGGAGGAUGGUGGAGGGGUGAUUAUGGUGGUAAAAAGCAACAUUGGUUUCCUGCUAAUUAUGUAGAAGAAAUCGAUGAACAAGAAAAUCAGGGAGAUUCAGCUGAUUCCAUGAUGCUUGGUAGUUUGCAAAAAGGUUCAUUAGAUAUCAUGGGUGCUGUAGUAGAACUAACAGUCGGGGAAAGAUUAGGUUUGGAAUGGAUUUUAAGAAUACAAAAUCCUAGUAUGUGUUCAGUAUUUGAAGUUGCUACGCCAUCUAAAGAUACUGCAUUAGAAUGGAUGUCAAGUAUCAAAGAGACUGCACAAAAUGCAAGUGUUAGGGAAAGUCAGCAUAAGGAAAUGGAGAGAGCAUGGAGAAUAGCCAAGGAGAUGUCUAAUCUUAUAGUAUAUUGUAGAUCUGUUGCAUUCAACAUAGAAAGAAUAAGAACUAAGGGAUUUACAUUCAAUGAAAUGAGUAGUUUCCCGGAAACAAAGGCUGAAAAAUUAAUGUGUCAACAAGAAAACAAAUUUUUUAUAAAAUAUCAUCAGAUUCAAUUUAGCAGAGUUUAUCCAAAAGGACAACGUAUCGAUUCAUCUAAUUAUAAUCCUGUACCAAUGUGGAAUGCUGGUUGUCAGAUGGUAGCUUUAAAUUACCAGACUGGAGACAAAUCGAUGCAAUUAAAUCAGGCUAAAUUUAAAGAGAAUGGCAAUUGUGGUUAUUUACUAAAACCAGAAUUUAUGUUUAGACAAGACUUUAAUCAAUAUGAUAAAAAUACAUUAUAUGGAGUCGAACCACUUAAAAUCAGUUUGAAAAUUAUUGGAGCCAGACAUUUAAUGAAAGCAGGAAGGGGCACUGCCAGUCCAUCUGUCGAAGUCGAAAUAAUUGGUGCAGAUUUUGACUUCGGAACGAAAUUAACAACAAAGACAAUACCGGAUAAUGGAUUUAAUCCAAUGUGGAAUGAAUCGUGUGAAUUUGAGAUAUUCAAUCCAUAUUUUGCUCUUAUACGAUUUUUAGUGCAAGAUGAAGAUAUGUUUGGUGAUAGUAAUUUCAUAGGACAAGCUACUUAUCCAGUGCGCUGUUUAAGAACAGGAUAUAGAAGCGUUCCAUUAAAAAACAUAUAUAGCGAAGAUCUUGAACUUGCUUCCUUAUUAGUACAUAUUAAAAUUGUAACAUUGACCAGAAAUUCCAUUUAAAAAAUUGCUAUAUUGAUAAAAAUUUAUAUAUUAAAAUUUAGUCUCUUAUUGAGAUUUCUUGUUCAAUAUAGCCACACAUAAUGCAUAAAAUAAGUUGACAAAAAGCAAAAUCUGCAUUAUAAAAUAUUUAAUGUACAGAUUGAUUAUACCAAAUAGCAUAUGUGUAAUACAAAAAAAUUACCAUGAAUAUGUUACAAUAUAGUAUACAAUGAUACAAAAAUAGCAUAUGUUAGAUAAAACAUAUCGUUAGAAGACUGUAUAUAUUUAUAUUAAAUUUUAACAAAUUUUAGCUAUAUAGAUUAUUA